This 497-nucleotide ribosomal RNA is filed under the name uncultured bacterium. Its description in RNAcentral is "partial 16S ribosomal RNA". It matches the Rfam family "Bacterial small subunit ribosomal RNA", at positions 28 to 507 of the family's 1533-position model. The record is from RNAcentral.
GACGAACGCUGGCGGCGUGCCUAAUACAUGCAAGUUGAGCGCUGAAGGUUGGUACUUGUACCAACUGGAUGAGCAGCGAACGGGUGAGUAACGCGUGGGGAAUCUGCCUUUGAGCGGGGGACAACAUUUGGAAACGAAUGCUAAUACCGCAUAAAAACUUUAAACACAAGUUUUAAGUUUGAAAGAUGCAAUUGCAUCACUCAAAGAUGAUCCCGCGUUGUAUUAGCUAGUUGGUGAGGUAAAGGCUCACCAAGGCGAUGAUACAUAGCCGACCUGAGAGGGUGAUCGGCCACCUUGGGACUGGGACACGGCCCAAACUCCUACGGGAGGCAGCAGUAGGGAAUCUUCGGCAAUGGACGAAAGUCUGACCGAGCAACGCCGCGUGAGUGAAGAAGGUUUUCGGAUCGUAAAAAUCUGUUGGUAGAGAAGAACGUUGGUGAGAGUGGAAAGCUCAUCAAGUGACGGUAACUACCCAGAAAGGGACGGCUAACUACGUG